GAUGAACGCUGGCGGCGUGCCUAAUACAUGCAAGUCGAGCGAACAGACGAGGAGCUUGCUCCUCUGACGUUAGCGGCGGACGGGUGAGUAACACGUGGAUAACCUACCUAUAAGACUGGGAUAACUUCGGGAAACCGGAGCUAAUACCGGAUAAUAUAUUGAACCGCAUGGUUCAAUAGUGAAAGACGGUUUUGCUGUCACUUAUAGAUGAAUCCGCGCCGCAUUAGCUAGUUGGUAAGGUAACGGCUUACCAAGGCAACGAUGCGUAGCCGACCUGAGAGGGUGAUCGGCCACCCUGGAACUGAGACACGGUCCAGACUCCUACGGGAGGCAGCAGUAGGGAAUCUUCCGCAAUGGGCGAAAGCCUGACGGAGCAACGCCGCGUGAGUGAUGAAGGUCUUCGGCUCGUAAAACUCUGUUAUUAGGGAAGAACAAAUGUGUAAGUAACUAUGCACGUCUUGACGGUACCUAAUCAGAAAGCCACGGCUAACUACGUG
RNAcentral lists this ribosomal RNA (497 nucleotides) under uncultured bacterium. RNAcentral's name for it is "partial 16S ribosomal RNA". It matches the Rfam family "Bacterial small subunit ribosomal RNA", at positions 28 to 507 of the family's 1533-position model. The record is from RNAcentral.